This 253-nucleotide ribosomal RNA is filed under the name uncultured bacterium. RNAcentral describes it as "partial 16S ribosomal RNA". It matches the Rfam family "Bacterial small subunit ribosomal RNA", at positions 524 to 776 of the family's 1533-position model. The record is from RNAcentral.
UACGUAGGGGGCAAGCGUUGUUCGGAAUUACUGGGCGUAAAGGGCGCGUAGGCGGCACGGCAAGUCAGGAGUGAAAGCCCUGGGCUCAACCCGGGAACUGCUUUUGAAACUGCCGAGCUAGAGUGCGGAAGGGGCAACUGGAAUUCCCGGUGUAGCGGUGAAAUGCGCAGAUAUCGGGAGGAACACCGGUGGCGAAGGCGGUUCUCUGGGCCUGACCUGACGCUGAGGAGCGAAAGCGUGGGGAGCGAACAGG